RNAcentral lists this ribosomal RNA (464 nucleotides) under uncultured bacterium. RNAcentral describes it as "partial 16S ribosomal RNA". It matches the Rfam family "Bacterial small subunit ribosomal RNA", at positions 28 to 506 of the family's 1533-position model. The record is from RNAcentral.
GACGAACGCUGGCGGCGUGCUUAACACGUGCAAGUCGAACGGAAAGGCCCUGCUUGCAGGGUACUCGAGUGGCGAACGGGUGAGUAACACGUGGGUGAUCUGCCCUGCACUUCGGGAUAAGCCUGGGAAACUGGGUCUAAUACCGGAUAGGAGCCAUUUUUAGUGUGAUGGUUGGAAAGUUUUUUCGGUGUAGGAUGAGCUCGCGGCCUAUCAGCUUGUUGGUGGGGUAAUGGCCUACCAAGGCGGCGACGGGUAGCCGGCCUGAGAGGGUGGACGGCCACAUUGGGACUGAGCUACGGCCCAGACUCCUACGGGAGGCAGCAGUGGGGAAUAUUGCACAAUGGGCGCAAGCCUGAUGCAGCGACGCCGCGUGGGGGAUGACGGCCUUCGGGUUGUAAACUCCUUUCGCUAGGGACGAAGCUUUUUGUGACGGUACCUAGAUAAGAAGCACCGGCUAACUACGU